UAUGGCUUGUGUUCUUCUAUAUGGUGAAGGAGGUGUGGCUUGUGUACUUUUAUAUAGUGAAGGCGGUGUGGCUUGUGUUCUACAUAGUGAAGGAGGUGUGGCUUGUGUUCUUCUAUAUGGUGAAGGAGGUGUGGCUUGUGUACUUUUAUAUAGUGAAGGAGGUGUGGCUUGUGUUCUUCAUAGUGAAGGAGGUGUGGCUUAUGUUCUUCUACAUAGUGAAGGAGGUGUGGUUUGUGUUCUAUAUAGUGAAGGAGGUGUGGUUUGUGUUCUAUAUAGUGAAGGAGGUGUGGCUUGUGUUCUUUUACAUAGUGAAGGAGGUGUGUCUUGUUUUCUUCUACAUAGUGAAGGAGGUGUGGCUUGUGUUCUUUUACAUAGUGAAGGAAGUGUGUCUUGUUUUCUUCUACAUAGUGAAGGAGGUGUGGCUUGUGUUCUUCAUAGUGAAGGAGGUGUGGCUUGUGUUCUUCUAUAUAGUGAAGGAGGUGUGGCUUGUGUUCUUCUAUAUGGUGAAGGAGGUGUGGCUUGUGUUCUACUUAGUGAAGGAGGUGUGGCUUGUGUUCUUCUAUAUGGUGAAGGAGGUGUGGCUUGUGUUCUACUUAGUGAAGGAGGUGUGGUUUGUGUUCUUUUACAUAGUAAAGGAGGUGUGGCUUGUGUUCUUCUAUAUAGUGAAGGAGGUGUGGCUUGUGUUCUUUUACAUAGUGAAGGAGGUGUGGCUUGUGUUCUUUUACAUAGUAAAGGAGGUGUGGCUUGUGUUCUUCUACAUAGCGAAGGAGGUGUGGUUUGUGUUGUUCUACAUAUUGAAGGAGGUGUGGCUUGUGUUCUCCUUGGUGAAGGAGGUGUGGCUUGUGUUCUUGGCAAAUAUCCACUCUUUACAACCAUGCUGAGCAGAAAAGCAUCAUAAUAAAUGUUACAUUUCCAUACAGAAAACUUCACCAUAUCAGCGAUUUUUUUUUCUUCUUUGUUAAAUAACAUAACAUUUUUUAUAUAAUUGUUAACUGUUAACUGACGAUGGACGCAUGUUCAGCGCUGAAAAGGGUGCACUGAGUUUCAUCUGGAGUGUUUGUGUAACAUUAUGUGUGUGUGUGUGGGUGGGUGACUUUGCUCUGGGCCAUGGGUCCUGGCCCUUCUCCAGCACUGCCGUGAUUACACCCCGGAUUUAGCUUUGGAUUGUGAUGAAAAAAAAAAAGCUCAUCAGUCCUCGGGUUUUUCAGCCGAGCGUCUGCUGCCUGGUCCGGAGUCUACUCUCGGCUACAAUCUGCGCCCUCUCAAGUGCUCAUCACGUCCCCUGAGAAGGCUAGUGAGAAAGCGUGCGAGUGAAUCAUUUUGACGCUUGUGCCACAAUAGCUGUUUCUGGAAUGCCAUCCUUCUUCAUUUUUUAGUUUCUAUCGCAGGUUUUUUUUUUGUCCAUUUGUCAAGUUUUUUUUUUUUCCCCAUUACAGCCAGCUUUCCUAUUUUUGUGUCUGUGAAUUUGAUGAUGAGCUCUUGGCUUGUUUGUUUGUUUGUUUGUUUGUUUAUUUAUUUAUUUAUUUUGACACACACACCAUAUGUCGUUGCAGGCUCGUUUGGUUCCUGCCAGUCUGAACGCCAUGACACCGUCUGAGAGAGUGUUGCUUUGCGUGAAGGCUUCGGAAGUCGGGGCACCUCUGAUUUCUCUAGUGAUCAGACACAGACGAGGAACAGAUGUUCAGAAGUUUGCUGAACCAUGGUAUCAUAAGCUGAGUGACUGAUAACACGAUGUACGUGUCAUCUUAAAAAUAUUCGGUGUAGAAUGAUUAAUAUGGUUUUUAAGUCUCUGGAUGCAGUGAAAAUGGCCUUGUAAUGUCUCUGUACAUCUAUCAUCAUAAUAUAGCCUCAUGGUUCUUCUCCACUGUGAAGGAGGUGUGGCUUGUGUUCUUCUCUAUAAUGAAGGAGGUGUGGCUUGUGUUCUUCUCUAUAAUGAAGGAGGUGUGGCUUGUGUUCUUCUCCAUAUUUAAGAAGGUGUGGCUUGUGGUGUUCUCCAUAUUUAAGGAGGUGUGGCCUGUGUUCUUCUCUAUAAUGAAGGAGGUGUGGCUUGUGUUCUUCUCUAUAAUAAAGGAGGUGUGGCUUGUGUUCUUCUACAUAUUUAAGAAGGUGUGGCUUGUGUUCUUCUCCAUUGUGAAGCAGGUGUGGCUUGUGUUCUUCUCCAUAUUUAAGGAGGUGUGGCCUGUUCUUCUCCAUAUUUAAGGAGGUGUGGCCUGUUCUUCUCCAUAUUUAAGGAGGUGUGGCCUGUUCUUCUCCAUAUUUAAGGAGGUGUGGCCUGUUCUCCAUAUUUAAGGAGGUGUGGCUUGUGUUCUUCUCCAUAGUGAAGGAGGUGUGGCUUGUGUUCUUCUCCAUUGUGAAAGAGGUGUGGCUUGUGGUGUUCUCCAUAUUUAAUGAGGUGUGGCCUGUGUUCUCCAUGGUGAAGGACGUGUGGCAUCUGUUCUUCUCCAUAUUUAAGGAGGUGUGGCCUGUGUUCUUCUCCAUGGCGAAGGACGUGUGGCCUCUGUUCUUCUCUAUAGUAAAGGAGGUGUGGCCUCUGUUCUUCUCUAUAGUAAAGGAGGUGUGGCCUCUGUUCUUCUCUAUAGUAAAGGAGGUGUGGCCUCUGUUCUUCUCUAUAGUAAAGGAGGUGUGGCCUCUGUUCUUCUCUAUAGUAAAGGAGGUGUGGCCUCUGUUCUUCUCUAUAGUAAAGGAGGUGUGGCCUCUGUUUCCCAAUGAAGGAGGUGUUUGUCUCUGUAUCUAUCAGUCCCAGUGAAGAAGGUGUGGCCGCUGUAUUUCUCCAUCAUAAUGAAAGAGGUGCAGCUUGUGUGCCUCUCCAUCCCAGUAAAGGACUGUGUCCUUUGUGCCUCUUAUUCCCAGUGAAAAAGACGUGGCUUCUUUAUCUGUUCGUCACAGUGAAGGAGGUGUAAUUGUGAAUUUGUGCUGUUCUGAAAAGGGUGAUAUUGGGCUGUACCGUUAUUAACCCUGAAUUUUUCACACCUCUCCUCUGGUCCAAAGAGUUAGGUAGUAAAGCGUUUGAUUAUUUCCUGUACGCAGGAUAAACACAAGUUUUCAUUCCAUUGCAUCAUUUUCUU
Ictalurus punctatus (channel catfish) is the source of this 3065-nucleotide long non-coding RNA. NCBI's taxonomy places the organism in Eukaryota, Metazoa, Chordata, Actinopteri, Siluriformes, Ictaluridae. The record is from Ensembl.